UGGGCAACCUGCCCCCCGGCUCUGGGAUAACUCCAAGAAAUUGGGGCUAAUACCGGAUAUGACCGCUGACCGCAUGGUCUGGUGGUGGAAAGUUUUUCGGCUGGGGAUGGGCCCGCGGCCUAUCAGCUUGUUGGUGGGGUAGUGGCCUACCAAGGCGACGACGGGUAGCCGGCCUGAGAGGGUGACCGGCCACACUGGGACUGAGACACGGCCCAGACUCCGUACGGGAG
This 230-nucleotide ribosomal RNA is filed under the name uncultured bacterium. RNAcentral describes it as "partial 16S ribosomal RNA". It matches the Rfam family "Bacterial small subunit ribosomal RNA", at positions 118 to 347 of the family's 1533-position model. The record is from RNAcentral.